GCUCGCCCUGCCUGAUCUUACAGGGAUGGCAGAGGCGCUGAAAGAAAGUGGCUCCAAUGCACGGGCUCAUUGAAGCCGUGCUCGUUCCGGGUCUGCUUGCAACCUCUGGGCUCACGGAGGACCUGGGAGAGCACGCACAGCGCAAGAGACUUCUGUGACCAAGAAUUCUGUGACCAUCAUGGGCCCAGCUGUCACUGGGAGGGGGACAGUCCAGGGGAGACAGCAUGGAAUGUGCCCGGGCACCUCUGCUGGAGUCGUGUUUGAAAAGCCACUCUCCUCUCAGGAUGCUGCCCUGCCAAGCAGCUGCCCACAGCUUCUGAGCAACAUCCAAACCGCUUGGCCUGGCCUUCGAGGCCGCCAGGUGGGGCCUCCGCCUCCUGCCCCUGCCCAACCCUGACCCCGCGCUCCAGCCAUGGGAACAUCCGCCACAACCCCACCGAAUGCCAGGCCCUUCCGCGGCCGCCGCCCCCCGCAGGCCUUCGAGGAGCUGUGGCCAUCAGCCUUUCAACGAGGGGUCAGCCGAGGCUCGGGGAAGCGGGCGCCUUGCUCCGCCGACUGUGUCAGGACUUGGACCUGGGUCCUCUGGCUGCAAAACCAGGCUCUUCACACUGAACCAUAAUUUCUCCACACUUGCUCCAUCGGCUAGUCCACCACCUUUUCUGGAACUCUUUUCCAUCUCAGCUUCCCAAACUCUAGUUGUCCUUCAAGGCUUGGCCCAGAUGUUGCCUCCCCCAGGCAGCCUCCUCAGACUACUUGCCAGAUCACCUCUCUCCUCCCCUUGCAGUCUGCCAUUGCCUUGACCUUGGUUCACCGAAGUCCUGGGGGGGAGGGGAGAUUGUGUUCCAGUGGCAGAGAUUGCUAGUUGCCCCCAAUAUCCAUUAUCCUCUCUUCCUAAAGCAAAAGAAACGUCAAAUUUGAGUUGGGCACAUGACUGUCCGUUCAAGUUCUUAGCCUCCUUUGCAGCUACAUGUAGCUGUUUGACUAAAUCCUUGCCAAUGACAUGUGACCUGUGAAACCUCUGGGUCCUGCCUCCAGAAGGAAGAGACAUGGCUUCCCCUUCUUCUUCUUUCUGUUUGCACUGCUGCAUGACAGAGGUGAUGGCAGGAGCUGGAGCAGCCAUAUUAACUAUGGGUAGGAGCUGGGUGUUGAGGAUCACAGAGCAACAAGGUAGAAAGAACCUGGGUCACCACCACAUUGGCCUAGACUGCUAAAGCUCAGACUGUUACAUGAGAGAGGGGAAAAAAUCCCCUUUGAUCUCAUUUAAUUCAGUGUUAGUUUGGCAUUUGUUAUAGCAGCCAAACUGUAUCCUAAUUAGUACUGACUCAGACUGAGAAGUUGAUUAACUGUUUGCAGAAUGGCUAAGGGAUUACUAACCAGAAGCCAGUGAGCUUUUCAGAGCACAUGGCACUCUGGGGUCACGGAAGGGGUGUGUCCAUGGGUUUCAGUGCUGGCCCACGUCAUAACUGUGGCUCCUUGGGCAAGCUACAUAAUGGCUCAGUGGCUCACAGGCCUCUUCUGUGACACGUGGGUGACAGUCCGCCCUGCAGAGUGAGGCUGAGAUGAGAUGACCCACAUAAAGGGCUUGGUUUCGAAGGCCCCUGUGUGUGUUGGUUCCUCUCCUGGGCAGAAAUGGCUUUAGUGAGAGCUGGGCACACCUCUUCUCGUCUGCCCCUCCACUGUCCCCUCCCCCUUCCUAUUCAAGGGGGCCACCCCUUCCUCCUCCCUCCUGUGCUCUGUACCCUCACCCUUCCCAGGGAGGGCUGGGUGAUUUAAUGAGCCCACAUGAAAACAUUCA
Equus caballus (horse) is the source of this 1795-nucleotide long non-coding RNA. Lineage: Eukaryota; Metazoa; Chordata; Mammalia; Perissodactyla; Equidae. The record is from Ensembl.